Molecule: ribosomal RNA, 1020 nt
Filed under: Capnodiales sp. CBS 118301
Lineage: Eukaryota; Fungi; Ascomycota; Dothideomycetes; Capnodiales
Description: SSU rRNA
Rfam family: Eukaryotic small subunit ribosomal RNA
Source: RNAcentral
AAACUGCGAAUGGCUCAUUAAAUCAGUUAUCGUUUAUUUGAUAGUACCCUACUACAUGGAUAACCGUGGUAAUUCUAGAGCUAAUACAUGCUAAAAACCCCGACUUCGGAAGGGGUGUAUUUAUUAGAUAAAAAACCAAUGCCCUUCGGGGCUCCUUGGUGAAUCAUAAUAACUUAACGAAUCGCAUGGCCUUGCGCCGGCGAUGGUUCAUUCAAAUUUCUGCCCUAUCAACUUUCGAUGGUAGGAUAGUGGCCUACCAUGGUUUCAACGGGUAACGGGGAAUUAGGGUUCGACUCCGGAGAGGGAGCCUGAGAAACGGCUACCACAUCCAAGGAAGGCAGCAGGCGCGCAAAUUACCCAAUCCCGACACGGGGAGGUAGUGACAAUAAAUACUGAUCCAGGGCUCUUUCGGGUCUUGGAAUUGGAAUGAGUACAAUUUAAAUCCCUUAACGAGGAACAAUUGGAGGGCAAGUCUGGUGCCAGCAGCCGCGGUAAUUCCAGCUCCAAUAGCGUAUAUUAAAGUUGUUGCAGUUAAAAAGCUCGUAGUUGAACCUUGGGCCUGGCUGGCCGGUCCGCCUCACCGCGUGUACUGGUCCGGCCGGGCCUUUCCUUCUGGGGAGCCGCAUGGCCUUCACUGGCCGUGUCGGGGAACCAGGACUUUUACUUUGAAAAAAUUAGAGUGUUCAAAGCAGGCCUUUGCUCGGAUACAUUAGCAUGGAAUAAUAGAAUAGGACGUGCGGUUCUAUUUUGUUGGUUUCUAGGACCGCCGUAAUGAUUAAUAGGGAUAGUCGGGGGCAUCUGUAUUCAAUUGUCAGAGGUGAAAUUCUUGGAUUUAUUGAAGACAAACUACUGCGAAAGCAUUUGCCAAGGAUGUUUUCAUUAAUCAGUGAACGAAAGUUAGGGGAUCGAAGACGAUCAGAUACCGUCGUAGUCUUAACCAUAAACUAUGCCGACUAGGGAUCGGUGGAUGUUACUAUUUUGACUCCAUCGGCACCUUACGAGAAAUCAAAGUUUUUGGGU